Ctenopharyngodon idella (grass carp) is the source of this 795-nucleotide long non-coding RNA. RefSeq lists it as uncharacterized. The transcript has 2 exons. The record is from RefSeq and is a predicted model, not a curated record. Lineage: Eukaryota; Metazoa; Chordata; Actinopteri; Cypriniformes; Xenocyprididae.
UCAACUGCGAUUCUUUUGGGGGAAAAAAACCUUUAUUGAUAUAAAGUAAUUUUUACUGAAGUCUUUGUGUUUCCUUAAACUUGUUCACAAUCUACUGAAGCGUUUGCAUAGAGAGUGUGUUUUACAUGAGCGACACACACUUCAGUGCUCUGCAUGUGUUUAUAACUGUCAAACAUGAUCAACAACUGUUUUUCACUAGAACUGAACCUACAACCAACAAAAAUGACUUUCAGCACCAUAUUGAUCUGGACGCUGGCAGUAUUAUGUCGAGAAUCUGUUGGUCAGGUGACAGUGACUCAAACUCCCUCAGAGCUGCUCUCUCAAACUGGACAAUCGGUCACUGUGACCUGUAAAUUUAACAGUGAUGUGAACUGCUGUCACAAUGGACACCAUUUUCUUAGCUGGUACUUAAAAAAACCUGGAGAAGCUCCUAAACUCCUGAUUUAUGGAGCAAUUAGUCAGCGGUCGGGGAUUCCAUCUAGAUUCAGUGGCAGUAGAUCAUCUGGGAGAGAUUUCACUCUGACCAUCAGAGGAGUCCAGAAUGAAGAUGCUGGACAUUAUUACUGUAUGAGUGACCACUACAUCAACAGUAAAGAUGUGUUCACACAGUGAUAAAGAGUCGUACAAAAACCUCCGUCAGUCAGAGUCACAGUGACUGAACUGAUACUGCAGCUGCUCAAAGGAGGAUCUGAAACAACAUCGUCACACAAACAUCUGAAAUAAAAUCAUCUAAAUUAAUCUGCCACUCUUAAUAAUUAUAGAGGUCAGAAAGAGAUUUUGUGCUCUUAUAGAUCA